CAUAAAAAUUAUGCUAUUUAUUUAAUUUAUUAUAAUAUCUAUUAUAUUCUGAAGUUCUCUGUAAAGAUAAGUACACAAUAAUGGUGUUAGGGUUAAAUAGUUGCUCCUAUUGAUUUAACUACUUUGGAUUUAGUUGGUCAUUUGCUUAUGAUUUAAUUUUUCUCACAGUACACCCCGGUCAAAAUAUCUUAUAACUCGAGGCUAUUUUGAACGAAUCUAAUUAAUACUCUACCACUUCUAUACAGGAAUAUACUUAGUAGCCAAGCAUUAAGAAACUAUUUUUCUAUAUAUUUUUUUGUAUUUUUAUGCAGAUUUUCCUCAAAAUGUGACAAAUUGUCACAGUGCCUUGUAAAAACUUGCCUUGAUAUAAUCGUUGCCUUUUUAAAAACUGGCACUACACAAACAAACUAUUGCAUAUUUUUUUUUUAAGUAUAUUUUCUUUAU
Aricia agestis (brown argus) is the source of this 444-nucleotide long non-coding RNA. RefSeq lists it as uncharacterized. Lineage: Eukaryota; Metazoa; Arthropoda; Insecta; Lepidoptera; Lycaenidae. The record is from RefSeq and is a predicted model, not a curated record. The transcript is spliced from 3 exons.